This 253-nucleotide ribosomal RNA is filed under the name uncultured prokaryote. Its description in RNAcentral is "partial 16S ribosomal RNA". It matches the Rfam family "Bacterial small subunit ribosomal RNA", at positions 525 to 777 of the family's 1533-position model. The record is from RNAcentral.
ACGGAGGGUGCAAGCGUUGUCCGGAUUUAUUGGGUUUAAAGGGUGCGUAGGCGGUCUUUUAAGUCAGUGGUGAAAGCCUCCAGCUCAACUGGAGAAAUGCCAUUGAUACUGCAGAGCUUGAGUACAGAUGAGGUAGGCGGAAUUGACGGUGUAGCGGUGAAAUGCUUAGAUAUCGUCAAGAACACCGAUAGCGAAGGCAGCUUACUGGGCUGUAACUGACGCUGAGGCACGAAAGUGUGGGGAUCAAACAGGA